RNAcentral lists this ribosomal RNA (627 nucleotides) under bacterium DOAN8/2. RNAcentral's name for it is "bacterial SSU rRNA". It matches the Rfam family "Bacterial small subunit ribosomal RNA", at positions 51 to 661 of the family's 1533-position model. The record is from RNAcentral.
AAUCAUGCAGAUCGAGCGAAUCGAUGGGAGCUUGCUCCCUGAGAUUAGCGGCGGACGGGUGAGUAACACGUGGGCAACCUGCCUAUAAGACUGGGAUAACUUCGGGAAACCGGAGCUAAUACCGGAUACGUUCUUUUCUCGCAUGAGAGAAGAUGGAAAGACGGUUUACGCUGUCACUUAUAGAUGGGCCCGCGGCGCAUUAGCUAGUUGGUGAGGUAAUGGCUCACCAAGGCGACGAUGCGUAGCCGACCUGAGAGGGUGAUCGGCCACACUGGGACUGAGACACGGCCCAGACUCCUACGGGAGGCAGCAGUAGGGAAUCUUCCGCAAUGGACGAAAGUCUGACGGAGCAACGCCGCGUGAACGAAGAAGGCCUUCGGGUCGUAAAGUUCUGUUGUUAGGGAAGAACAAGUACCAGAGUAACUGCUGGUACCUUGACGGUNCCUAACCAGAAAGCCACGGCUAACUACNUGCCAGCAGCCGCGGUAAUACGUANGUGGCAAGCGUUGUCCGGAAUUAUUGGGNGUAAAGCGCGCGCAGGUGGUUCCUUAAGUCUGAUGUGAAAGCCCACGGCUCAACCGUGNANGGUCAUUGGAAACUGGGGAACUUGAGUGCAGAAGAGGAAAG